This 59-nucleotide transfer RNA is filed under the name Camelus bactrianus (Bactrian camel). It matches the Rfam family "tRNA", at positions 7 to 64 of the family's 71-position model. Rfam says of the family: Transfer RNA (tRNA) molecules are approximately 80 nucleotides in length. Their secondary structure includes four short double-helical elements and three loops (D, anti-codon, and T loops). RNAcentral also lists the same sequence under 2 other names. The record is from Rfam by way of RNAcentral. Lineage: Eukaryota; Metazoa; Chordata; Mammalia; Artiodactyla; Camelidae.
AUAGCUCAGUGGUGGAGUGCAUGCCUAGCAUGCAUGAGGUCCUGGGUUCAAUCCCCAGU